Long non-coding RNA from Mizuhopecten yessoensis (Yesso scallop), 325 nucleotides. RefSeq lists it as uncharacterized. The transcript is spliced from 3 exons. The record is from RefSeq and is a predicted model, not a curated record. Lineage: Eukaryota; Metazoa; Mollusca; Bivalvia; Pectinida; Pectinidae.
UGGAAAACCUUACCAAACACAACAAACAAAUCACCAUGGUUAUAGAAGAUAUACCUGUCCCCAUGUAUGUUCUCAAGAAACUCGCCUACAAGCAAGACGCUAUUGCGAACUUAGGUGGCGUGGAAACCAACAAGUUUGUCUCGCUUGUUGCCGACGUAGCACGUCUGUACUGAAUGUUGCCUCGAACUGAUGAGAUCCACUCAACACCCAUACAACCCCCACUGAAACGUUUAAAUGAUGAGAAAGUAGCAGCUUUAAAAGACACGACCGAUCAACUUCUCAAGGUCAUUGACAGUCAUACAAAUGUUAUAGCAGAUCUCCAACA